Molecule: ribosomal RNA, 315 nt
Filed under: uncultured Brucellaceae bacterium
Lineage: Bacteria; Pseudomonadati; Pseudomonadota; Alphaproteobacteria; Hyphomicrobiales; Brucellaceae
Description: bacterial SSU rRNA
Rfam family: Bacterial small subunit ribosomal RNA
Source: RNAcentral
AGAGUUUGAUCCUGGCUCAGAACGAACGCUGGCGGCAGGCUUAACACAUGCAAGUCGAGCGCCCCGCAAGGGGAGCGGCAGACGGGUGAGUAACGCGUGGGAACGUACCUUUUGCUACGGAACAACAGUUGGAAACGACUGCUAAUACCGUAUGUGCCCGAAAGGGGAAAGAUUUAUCGGCAAAGGAUCGGCCCGCGUUGGAUUAGCUAGUUGGUGAGGUAAAGGCUCACCAAGGCGACGAUCCAUAGCUGGUCUGAGAGGAUGAUCAGCCACACUGGGACUGAGACACGGCCCAGACUCCUACGGGAGGCAGCA